CCCUGUCUCUUGCUGCUAGACUCAUUGUUCCAUCUAAUCUUCUGAAUUCAAUACCAUUUUCAAUAAAACUCAGCUCAACCAAGUCAAGCAUACCCGUCCACUGAGAGAAUACUAUCGUCUUUAUUGGCCCCUGGUUAGGUGAAGAUGAGUGAAGAGUCGUUGGCUCUAUAAUGGUAACAUCAUCGUCAUCGUCAUGUGGCUGUGAGGAAGAAGGCAUUUGACCAUGUUCGGAAAGCGACUUCAGGAUAUCUAGGACAGCCUUGAUUUUUGAUGAACUAAACUCGCUUUUUUGAAGAGCUGAUCUAUCCUGUGAAGAACUACAUCCUGUAUCAUUGGUGAUGCAUUUUCUAAGGGAAGAUUCGGAGAAAACCACAUCACGCCCAAUGUCUUCUCUGCAUCUCCGUACAGGGCACACGUUCUCAUCCCCAGUGAUAUGUUCUGAAGCACACUGAUAGCAAAAUACAUGCCCACACAGCGUAACAACAGGGUUUUCCGGUGGAUCCUGCAGAUAAACAGGGAACUAGAGUAAAUAUUCUCAGAACUGGCCUAAGAAUUAGAGAGCAGUGAGCCUGAGGACAUGUUUUUUUCCUAGCUCUCAAUUACUCUGCACUUACAUCACAUAUAUUGCAGAUGGCAGAUGAUGACUCUAAACGAUUGAGCAGGUUGAUUCGAGCCUCCCUAGGGAGUCUUUCGACUGCUUCUUCUGAUUCUUUUCCAAGAGGAUCUGAGUUGUACCCGUUAACAAGUUGUGGGUGGUCACAAGCUUGGCGUAGACGCAAAAGCAUCAGAAGAAUAUUUCCGUAGUUUUGGCCCAAAGUUCCUGCAGCAGCAUAAGCCUGCAGAAAAUAUUAUUAAUCAUCUUAUCAGGUGUACAUGACUACAAGUACGAGUUUAUGUUGUUUCACUGGCAGAAAACAUGAUAUUCCAAGAACGCUCCUGUAAGGUCUCAUUUAUAAAAGCAUUGACUAGCUUUAUAGACGUUUCUUCUUUUCCAACAAAGUGCACAUCAAUUUCAAAGUAUGAACUAAUAAACUGUGGAGGACGAAAAGGAAAACCUUGAAUUGUGAUCGUGAAUCUGCUUCAAGCUUCUUGUAGAAAGAGCGCUCCUCCACUGAAAAGUCCACUUUGCUCAAGCUAAUUUUCUUUGGAGGUAGAUUAAUAAUGGGUUUCCCAUCAAGCAAUGUUCCUAGAUAUUAGAACAUGAGAUAUUUAGCAGAAAUCAUCAACUGCAUCCCAGCUACGUACGAAUAACAUAAUAGCAAUAUAAAAAACUACCAUCGAGUAAAAACGAUCAAAUACAUAUUAGAAAGAAAAUAACACGAUAAACUUGGGUACCUUUUGUACGGCGCAGCAUUAUAGCCUUUAGAACAGCUUGAAGCUUUUUGUAACCAUGAAGAGAACUUUUGGAAAUUGGAACCUUGAUUGUAUGGUAAAAUGACUUGUACACAGCAUACGGAUUAUAUCUAAGGAACCUGAAAUAGCUGUAUAGAUCAUCAAUCGUAUUUUGAAUUGGCGUUCCAGACAAACACCACCUCCUCUUGGCUCGAAGAGUGCAACAAGCUCUUGCCACUUGUGUUGUAUGAUUCUUAAUUGUCUGAGCUUCGUCUAGUACUACUCUGAGCCAACCAACUCUUGAUAAAGUACCACAAUCAGAGUCGAAAGAAGAACCGUCCAUGCUUUUUCUACCUCUUUUCUUACUCUUCUUACUGGCCUUCAUUGCAACCUUACGUUUCUUCUUGUUGCCAUGUUUUUGGUUAUUGUCUUCAUCGUUCUCAUCAUCGUCCAACAAGGACUGUUUGGGAGCUUCAUUGGUAACAAUGGCGUAAGUUGUGACAACCACAUCAUAUUUUGCUAACUCCACAGGAUCUUUGGUCCUAUUACCACCAUGGUAGACUAAAACAGAAAGUUUAGAUUCAUCAGAAACCUUCUCAUCAAGCUCUCUUGCCCAUUGCCUCACAAGACUCGCUGGACAAACAACUAAUGUACCAGCAGCUGGUCUCUUUCUUUUAAACUCCCUUACUGAAGUACUCACUUCUUCAUCUUUGACUUUCUCCGCAUCUGAACUGUCAUUCUCAUCACUAUCACCAACACUCAGAACCGUGGUCUCACUGUUGGUUAAAACCUUGAGCUCUGUUUUUGCGUGACUUUCGCUCUCAUGUUUUGCAUUUUCUGACUCAUCAUAAGCAUCCAGAUCCAAUAUUUCAGCUUCUUCCUUAAUAGACAGAACCGUGGUCUCACUGUUCCUUGAAUUGAGCUCUGGUUUUGCAUGACUUUUACUUUCAUGCUUUGCAUUUUCUAACUCAUCAUCAGCAUCCAGGUCCAAUAUUUCAGCUUCUCCCUUGGUUGAGAUUUCAGACUUCAGUUGUGACUCAAACUUUUGCUUCAGGAUAAGAGCAAUCAUCGAAACUGUCUUACCAAGUCCCUACAAAAAUAGACCUUACAUAGUUUGAGGGGAAUAUCCACGUAACAAAAUCACAGAUAUUAACUUGGGAAGAAAUUUAAGAAUAUGUGACCUGAUCAUCUGCUAAUAUCCCUCCCGAACAGUGCAAACUAGUUGUUUCCUUCUGAAACAUCCACGCCAAUGCAAUUUUCUGAAAGCAACAGUAUUUUCAGUACACUGUACACAAACCAAUUUCAACGGCCAAUAAAUGGUAACAUUGAAACAUGACAAUACCUGAUGCCUCAUAAGAGGAACUGAAAGAAUACCAGGAGGUAGAUCAAUCUCGGUCUUGGGUUGAUUCAAAUCCUGCAGGAUUAACAUACUCUUUUAUUAAAAAUUGCACUUAAUAUACCAUUAAAUAUCAGGUUGACUAUGGAAACAACACAACACAGAGGCUCUCAACAUAUUUACAAUGCACCUGGGUAAAAUCGAAAAUGAAUGCUCCUCAUAAACACAAUUAUCUAAAAUAUCAUUUUUCAGAUGAAGAAAAAUAAAGCAGCUUAUUGCAUAACUAGGAUACUCGGUCUAAAAUGAGUAGAUUCAGCAUGGUAAUAUAAUAUGACUCCAGCAUCAAUGAGAAACCAUAUAAAACGAACAAUGCACCAUAAAUCUCUGAAAAAUAUUUAACCAAAAGAAAGGAGCCAAGUUUGGAGCUAUUCAUUGCUCGAUAUUCACUAUCGCAAUCAUACUAGGUGACUAAAGCGACACAAGACAUGCAAACAGAGAAGAACAGCCAAGUGUUGAAGGCUAUACAUAAGAGAAGAUUGAGUUACCUGUAGCGCAGCCUGAUAGAUCAACCUCUCAUCGUUCUCAGAAUUCAUAUCUUCACCAACGCCAACCCUGUGAAUUGGAUCGCUUGGACCACCAUAAUGUAACGGAGAGGAUGCAGAUGUUCCAAUGGUCAUAGACGGAGGGAGGAUCCUAACCCCAUUCAUGCCACGGUGAAUUCCUAUCUCAGAAUGAGCUCCACGGUGACGAUCACCAAACGCACUCUUGUUGCUUACAGCAGAACUACUACUAUAGUCCGCACCAAAGCGACCCGCGUUGCCAUGGCUUACACCGUUGGAAGCACUUCUUGGAGGAAUAGGAGUCGUAUUAAAAGAUGGCGGAAGGGUUCUUUUCAGAGGUUGUUGAGAAGAAACAAUUGAAGUCCUCGAGUUAACGAUGCUCUUGUCAUUCCCUCUAGUAGUAGUUCUAGAGCUGUCUCUUGGCCGAGAUGCAUAACGUGGAGCACCAUAGCGAGAAGCUGGAUUUGGAGGUCUAGGUGUAGGUUGAGUAUUAGCAGCAGAGGAACCCUUUUGAGGAAAACUAGUGCUGCCUGAAAAAAAGUAGCAAUGUGAUUUGAUAACUCCAUAAAGCUAAACCUCACGGAGAGAGAUAAAGAGUAAACCAUCUAGCCAAGGGGGAUUCUUCCUGGUUCUAACUUCUUCUUUAAUGGGCUCUUCUGAUACCUCCUCUUCAUCACUACUACUAAUACUACUACUGCCUGAACUGAUUUCAAUAGCGGAUUCCAUCAUGGGAUCUCCUUCUUCUGCAUUUAUUUGUUCCAAGACAUUCUAUGAAUGCAUCUCCCACAUAUGACAAAGAGUUUUCGCCAUUUUCUCAUCACAUAUACCUUCCUCUAAAACCAAAGACAAGCGUAGACAUCAAACGGGAACAUAGCAGCAAGUCAAAGGCGUACCUAGGAUGGUGGAGUCAAUCACUACGACCUGAUUAGAGGAACCAAUCCUCAUCUGCUUCAAACAAAGCACUAUAUAGGAACAAGAUAUGUACAUACAGAGGUUCUGUCACCAUCUACAUAGCUCAAGAGGUAAGCACAACGCAUAGAUGCAUACAACAAGUUCCAAAACAGACUCAGAACCUGCAAGCUAUAAAGAUUGCUUGGAAUGACCAGCCAAGAAUACAUAAGAAAUGUCACUGUAAGAAAAAAAAAUGAUUAGCUGCCCAAAGGUAUCAAAUAUACAGCAGUAGAUCCUUGAGAUUUACCGUUAAACUCUUACACAUGAUACAUACCAUGAAACGAUUUAGUUAUUUACAUAUGGCAUAAUUCCAAUCAAUGAAAUUCCGCGCACACAAAAAACCUAGACUGGCUCCAAAGCCUCACAAAACCAAACACGAAAUCCUAGGAGAGGCAGAGUCUUGAAGUUAUAUUACAUAAGCAGGUAGAGGUUUCUUCCUGAUCAAAAAAAGCUCUGUGCAUAAUCUCCCAUAAUAAAUACUAUGCAACCUAAUUCAAGCAACGAUUAGAAGGCUACACGUAGAGCAUACAAUGAGUGGUCUACACCAUAAAAAGAUACUUGAGAUCGUCAACUGUCAGUCGAGUGGCAGAGCUUCCACCAUGCUCUUCACCAUACGCAGAUGCAACAAUCUUCCUUUUCUCUUCCUGAUGAAAUAAAAAAUUGAAAAUGAUAGUGCUGAAUCACUGUAACCAAGUCAGAGCGAGCUGAAAUAUUGCGUAGAAUACCUGAAGUAACAAAAUUCUAUCCUCCACGGUGCCUUUUAUAGUGAUGCGAGUUACACUAACUGGCCGAGUUUGUCCAAUACGAUGUGCACGAUCAAUAGCUUGAUCUUCGGUUGUUGGAUUCCACCAAAGAUCCAGAAGAAUAACAUGACAUGCAUUUACCAUAUUCAACCCAAGGUUUCCAGCUUUUAGCGACAUCAGCAUCACCUCUACCUGUUAAUAGAGAAAGCUUUAGGAUCGAUACUCCAUGAUUCAGAGAAAUGACUAGUUAAAGUAUUUUGGAAAAUAUAUCUAAGAUAUUCAUAUCACUCACAUCUGGAUCAUUGCUGAAUUCUUUUACAGCCCUGUCUCUUGCUGCUAGACUCAUUGUUCCAUCUAAUCUUCUGAAUUCAAUACCAUUUUCAAUAAAACUCAGCUCAACCAAGUCAAGCAUACCCGUCCACUGAGAGAAUACUAUCGUCUUUAUUGGCCCCUGGUUAGGUGAAGAUGAGUGAAGAGUCGUUGGCUCUAUAAUGGUAACAUCAUCGUCAUCGUCAUGUGGCUGUGAGGAAGAAGGCAUUUGACCAUGUUCGGAAAGCGACUUCAGGAUAUCUAGGACAGCCUUGAUUUUUGAUGAACUAAA
Molecule: long non-coding RNA, 5523 nt
Filed under: Brassica napus (rape)
Lineage: Eukaryota; Viridiplantae; Streptophyta; Magnoliopsida; Brassicales; Brassicaceae
Description: long non-coding RNA (BNAP_LNC004530)
Source: RNAcentral